GAGUUUGAUCCUGGCUCACGACGAACGCUGGCGGCGUGCCUAAUACAUGCAAGUAGAACGCUGAAGACUUUAGCUUGCUAAAGUUGGAAGAGUUGCGAACGGGUGAGUAACGCGUAGGUAACCUGCCUACUAGCGGGGGAUAACUAUUGGAAACGAUAGCUAAUACCGCAUAACAGCAUUUAACCCAUGUUAGAUGCUUGAAAGGAGCAAUUGCUUCACUAGUAGAUGGACCUGCGUUGUAUUAGCUAGUUGGUGAGGUAACGGCUCACCAAGGCGACGAUACAUAGCCGACCUGAGAGGGUGAUCGGCCACACUGGGACUGAGACACGGCCCAGACUCCUACGGGAGGCAGCAGUAGGGAAUCUUCGGCAAUGGGGGCAACCCUGACCGAGCAACGCCGCGUGAGUGAAGAAGGUUUUCGGAUCGUAAAGCUCUGUUGUAAGAGAAGAACGUGUGUGAGAGUGGAAAGUUCACACAGUGACGGUAACUUACCAGAAAGGGACGGCUAACUACGUGCCAGCAGCCGCGGUAAUACGUAGGUCCCGAGCGUUGUCCGGAUUUAUUGGGCGUAAAGCGAGCGCAGGCGGUUUAAUAAGUCUGAAGUUAAAGGCAGUGGCUUAACCAUUGUUCGCUUUGGAAACUGUUAGACUUGAGUGCAGAAGGGGAGAGUGGAAUUCCAUGUGUAGCGGUGAAAUGCGUAGA
Molecule: ribosomal RNA, 702 nt
Filed under: uncultured bacterium
Lineage: Bacteria
Description: bacterial SSU rRNA
Rfam family: Bacterial small subunit ribosomal RNA
Source: RNAcentral